This 67-nucleotide transfer RNA is filed under the name Galegeeska revoilii (Somali elephant shrew). Its description in RNAcentral is "tRNA-Tyr". It matches the Rfam family "tRNA". Rfam says of the family: Transfer RNA (tRNA) molecules are approximately 80 nucleotides in length. Their secondary structure includes four short double-helical elements and three loops (D, anti-codon, and T loops). Further hydrogen bonds mediate the characteristic L-shaped molecular structure. tRNAs have two regions of fundamental functional importance: the anti-codon, which is responsible for specific mRNA codon recognition, and the 3' end, to which the tRNAs corresponding amino acid is attached (by aminoacyl-tRNA synthetases). tRNAs cope with the degeneracy of the genetic code in two manners: having more than one tRNA (with a specific anti-codon) for a particular amino acid; and 'wobble' base-pairing, i.e. permitting non-standard base-pairing at the 3rd anti-codon position. Lineage: Eukaryota; Metazoa; Chordata; Mammalia; Macroscelidea; Macroscelididae. The record is from RNAcentral.
GGUAAAAUGGCUGAGUAAAGCAUUAGACUGUAAAUCUAAGGACGAAGUAUGAAUGCUUCUUUUACCA